CCGCUGCGGAUUGCUAGCGCGCGGCGUCGCAAGACGCCUUUGCGCUUCCUAUCCGGACUGCCGGCGCGAGCCGGCGGAAGCUGGCGGCAAUAACAGGUCUGUGAUGCCCUUUGAUGUUCCGGGCCGCACGCGCGCUACACUGAUGCAGGCAGCGAGUCGCGUCUGGGCCGGCAGGUCUGGAGAAUCUUGCAGACUGCAUCGUGCUGGGGAUAGUCCGUUGUAAUUGUUGGACUUGCAACGAGGAAUUCCUAGUAAGCGCAAGUCAUCAGCUUGCGCUGAUUACGUCCCUGUCCUUUGUACACACCGCCCGUCGCUACUACCGAUUGGAUGGUUUGGUGAGGUGUGUGGCGUCCCCCGAGUCUCGCGUCAGCGAGACGAGGAGGGGCAAAACCCAACGAACCUGAUCAUCUAGAGGAAGUAAAAGUCG
RNAcentral lists this ribosomal RNA (427 nucleotides) under Kickxellomycotina sp. Its description in RNAcentral is "SSU rRNA". It matches the Rfam family "Eukaryotic small subunit ribosomal RNA", at positions 1341 to 1791 of the family's 1831-position model. The record is from RNAcentral. Lineage: Eukaryota; Fungi; Kickxellomycota.